This 497-nucleotide ribosomal RNA is filed under the name uncultured bacterium. RNAcentral describes it as "partial 16S ribosomal RNA". It matches the Rfam family "Bacterial small subunit ribosomal RNA", at positions 28 to 507 of the family's 1533-position model. The record is from RNAcentral.
GAUGAACGCUGGCGGCGUGCCUAAUACAUGCAAGUCGAACGAACGGACGCGGCGCUUGUUUGUCUGUCGUUAGGCGAGCACGGGUGAAUCACGCGUGUAUCCCGUCCUUAUCAUUGUGAUAUAACUUCGAGACAGCGGAGCUUAUCCGAUAGAAUAUUCUGAACCGCAUGGGUGAUAAGUGAAUGGCGGUCUUUGGGUCUCUUAUAGAUGAUUCUGGGCUUCAUGAGCUGGUUGGUAAGGUAAAGGCUUAUGAAGGGAACGAUGCCUAGGCGAGCUGAGAGGGUGAUCGGCCACACUGGAACGUGGACACGGUCCAGACGCCUACGGGAGGCAGCAGUAGGGAAUGUUAGGCAAUGGGGGAAAGCCUGACGGAGCAACGCCGCGUGAGUGACGAAGGUAUUCGGUGCGUAAAACUCUGUUAUGGGGGAAGAACAGAUGUCGAAGGAAAUGAGGACAGCGUGACGGUACUGAAUAAGAAAGCCACGGCUAACUACGUG